Long non-coding RNA from Passer domesticus (house sparrow), 585 nucleotides. RefSeq lists it as uncharacterized. The transcript has 2 exons. Lineage: Eukaryota; Metazoa; Chordata; Aves; Passeriformes; Passeridae. The record is from RefSeq and is a predicted model, not a curated record.
GCUUGUUCAUGACUCCUGGGCAAGCCUAGGGCAAACUUCACCUACCCUGCUUGUGGCCAGGCUGCUCUGCACCCCGUGUACAUCCACAGCACAGAGCAGUGGCCCUUGUCUCUUUGAGGCCUCAGAUGGUGCCAUGAUGCCCCUCAAAUACGAUCAAUAUGCUGCUGGGCAUUUUCCAGGCCAGAGGGUGUAACAGCUUGAGAAGGACCAUGUUGCAGUCCACUUUCACAGCAUGGCACAGAGUGUGACACCAGCGUGGGAAGAUGGAAUGUGUUGGAGAGAGAUCUCAUUGUACUGAUCCAAACCAAAGCCAGGGUGUGACUGAGGAGAGAAUCCUUGAACCUCAUGCAUUCUGUCCCAAAAUGUGCAAAGCCAAGCAGGGUGAGCUUUGAAAUCAAGUUGAUGUCGGCAGUAAUCCAGAGAAGAAUUAACAAAGGCUUCAAAGUUAAAUUAUCCAAGAUAGCAUGUCAAGCCAUUGAAUUGCAGUUCAGCAGCAUGCCAAAAUAUUCCAGGAUGUCUCUUAUGAUGUAUUUCAUUGUUUCUUAUAAUUUGAGUAGUAGGAAAGUGAUUAAAAAUAAGACUGCA